GACGAACGCUGGCGGCGUGCUUAACACAUGCAAGUCGAGCGAUGAAGUUCCUUCGGGAAUGGAUUAGCGGCGGACGGGUGAGUAACACGUGGGUAACCUGCCUCAUAGAGGGGAAUAGCCUUUCGAAAGGAAGAUUAAUACCGCAUAAGAUUGUAGUGCUGCAUGGUAGAGCAAUUAAAGGAGUAAUCCGCUAUGAGAUGGACCCGCGUCGCAUUAGCUAGUUGGUGAGGUAAGGGCUCACCAAGGCGACGAUGCGUAGCCGACCUGAGAGGGUGAUCGGCCACAUUGGGACUGAGACACGGCCCAGACUCCUACGGGAGGCAGCAGUGGGGAAUAUUGCACAAUGGGGGAAACCCUGAUGCAGCAACGCCGCGUGAGUGAUGACGGUCUUCGGAUUGUAAAACUCUGUCUUCAGGGACGAUAAUGACGGUACCUGAGGAGGAAGCCACGGCUAACUACGUGCCAGCCGCCGCCGUAA
Molecule: ribosomal RNA, 478 nt
Filed under: uncultured bacterium
Lineage: Bacteria
Description: partial 16S ribosomal RNA
Rfam family: Bacterial small subunit ribosomal RNA
Source: RNAcentral